Molecule: ribosomal RNA, 297 nt
Filed under: uncultured Latescibacterota bacterium
Lineage: Bacteria; Pseudomonadati; Candidatus Latescibacterota
Description: uncultured Latescibacteria bacterium partial 16S ribosomal RNA
Rfam family: Bacterial small subunit ribosomal RNA
Source: RNAcentral
GAGCGCAACCCUUAUCCCCACGUUGCCAUCAGGUAAAAGGACUGGGGAACGUCUGGGGAGGACUGCCGGUGAUAAACCGGAGGAAGGCGGGGAUGACGUCAAGUCCUCAUGGCCCUUACAUCCCGGGCUACACACGUGCUACAAUGGCAGGUACAGAGGGCUGCGAAGCCGCGAGGUGGAGCGAAUCCCAGAAAACCUGUCUCAGUCCGGAUUGAAGUCUGCAACUCGCCUGCAUGAAGAUGGAGUUGCUAGUAACCGCAGGUCAGCAAUACUGCGGUGAAUACGUUCCCGGGUCUU